CCUACGGGUGGCAGCAGUAGGGAAUAUUGCUCAAUGGGGGAAACCCUGAAGCAGCAACGCCGCGUGGAGGAUGAAGGUUUUCGGAUUGUAAACUCCUUUUGUUAGGGAAGAUAAUGACGGUAUCUACCGACUAAGCAGCGGCUAACCCCGUGCCAGCAGCAGCGGUAAUACGGAGGGUGCAAGCGUUACUCGGAAUCACUGGGCGUAAAGAGAGCGUAGGCGGGAUAGCAAGUCAGGAGUGAAAUCCCAGGGCUUAACCAUAGAACUGCAUUUGAAAAUGUUGUUCUAGAGUAUGGGAGAGGUAGGUGGAAUUCUUGGUGUAGGGGUAAAAUCCGUAGAGAUCAAGAGGAAUACUCAUUGCGAAGGCGACCUGCUAGAACAUAACUGACGCUGAUGCGCGAAAGCGUGGGGAGCAAACAGGAUUAGAUACCCUGGUAGUC
Molecule: ribosomal RNA, 440 nt
Filed under: uncultured bacterium
Lineage: Bacteria
Description: partial 16S ribosomal RNA
Rfam family: Bacterial small subunit ribosomal RNA
Source: RNAcentral